GACUCGUCACACUAUCAUUAACUGAAUCCAUAGGUUAAUGAGGCGAACCGGGGGAACUGAAACAUCUAAGUACCCCGAGGAAAAGAAAUCAACCGAGAUUCCCCCAGUAGCGGCGAGCGAACGGGGAGGAGCCCAGAGCCUGAAUCAGCAUGUGUGUUAGUGGAAGCGUCUGGAAAGGCGCGCGAUACAGGGUGACAGCCCCGUACACAAAAGCGCAUGUGCUGUGAGCUCGAUGAGUAGGGCGGGACACGUGGUAUCCUGUCUGAAUAUGGGGGGACCAUCCUCCAAGGCUAAAUACUCCUGACUGACCGAUAGUGAACCAGUACCGUGAGGGAAAGGCGAAAAGAACCCCGGCGAGGGGAGUGAAAAAGAACCUGAAACCGUGUACGUACAAGCAGUGGGAGCACCCUUUGGGGUGUGACUGCGUACCUUUUGUAUAAUGGGUCAGCGACUUAUAUUCUGUAGCAAGGUUAACCGAAUAGGGGAGCCGGAGGGAAACCGAGUCUUAAUUGGGCGUUAAGUUGCAGGGUAUAGACCCGAAACCCGGUGAUCUAGCCAUGGGCAGGUUGAAGGUUGGGUAACACUAACUGGAGGACCGAACCGACUAAUGUUGAAAAAUUAGCGGAUGACCUGUGGCUGGGGGUGAAAGGCCAAUCAAACCGGGAGAUAGCUGGUUCUCCCCGAAAGCUAUUUAGGUAGCGCCUCGUGAAUUCAUCUCCGGGGGUAGAGCACUGUUUCGGCUAGGGGGCCAUCCCGGCUUACCAACCCGAUGCAAACUGCGAAUACCGGAGAAUGUUAUCACGGGAGACACACGGCGGGUGCUAACGUCCGUCGUGAAGAGGGAAACAACCCAGACCGCCAGCUAAGGUCCCAAAGUCAUGGUUAAGUGGGAAACGAUGUGGGAAGGCCCAGACAGCCAGGAUGUUGGCUUAGAAGCAGCCAUCAUUUAAAGAAAGCGUAAUAGCUCACUGGUCGAGUCGGCCUGCGCGGAAGAUGUAACGGGGCUAAACCAUGCACCGAAGCUGCGGCAGCGACACUCAGGUGUUGUUGGGUAGGGGAGCGUUCUGUAAGCCUGUGAAGGUGUGUCGUGAGGCAUGCUGGAGGUAUCAGAAGUGCGAAUGCUGACAUAAGUAACGAUAAAGCGGGUGAAAAGCCCGCUCGCCGGAAGACCAAGGGUUCCUGUCCAACGUUAAUCGGGGCAGGGUGAGUCGACCCCUAAGGCGAGGCCGAAAGGCGUAGUCGAUGGGAAACGGGUUAAUAUUCCC
RNAcentral lists this ribosomal RNA (1265 nucleotides) under Salmonella enterica subsp. enterica serovar Mountpleasant. RNAcentral's name for it is "partial 23S ribosomal RNA". It matches the Rfam family "Bacterial large subunit ribosomal RNA", at positions 137 to 1440 of the family's 2925-position model. The record is from RNAcentral. Lineage: Bacteria; Pseudomonadati; Pseudomonadota; Gammaproteobacteria; Enterobacterales; Enterobacteriaceae.